CCAGAACUGUGUAGGUGAGAGGAUGCAUGCAUGUUACCGGGGUUGCUGAGCAGAGCUGAGCACUGACCUGAACUCUUGUAAGACCAGCAGUCCUACAACAGCAACCACUCAUUGUCAGAGGACACAGUGGUCUAAGCACCUAACAGCAAUACUUCACGAAGACAAAAGUGGGUGAAACUCUUAAGUCCUUAACUGACUGAAAACUUUUUUGCAUUUCAGUUGGGGAACUUUCUAUUGACCGAUGUUCAAGCUCACUGAUUCUCUCUUUGGCUGUGUUCAGUCUUUGGAUGAGCCCAUCAAAGGCAUUCUUCAUUUCUGUCACAGUGUCUUUGUUAACUUCUAGCAUUUC
This 349-nucleotide long non-coding RNA is filed under the name Homo sapiens (human). Its description in RNAcentral is "HSALNT0113773". The record is from RNAcentral. Lineage: Eukaryota; Metazoa; Chordata; Mammalia; Primates; Hominidae.